This 1384-nucleotide long non-coding RNA is filed under the name Eptatretus burgeri (inshore hagfish). RNAcentral describes it as "lncRNA (ENSEBUG00000017236.1)". Lineage: Eukaryota; Metazoa; Chordata; Myxini; Myxiniformes; Myxinidae. The record is from RNAcentral.
GGGGGGGGGGGGCCGCCGCUCCCGUCCCCUCCGGUCCCGCCGCUCCCGUCCCCUCCGGUCCCGCCGCUCCCGUCCCCUCCGGUCCCGCCGCUCCUGUCCCCUCCGGUCCCGCCGCUCCUGUCCCCUCCGGUCCCGCCGCUCCCGUCCUCUCCGGUCCCACCGCUCCCGUUCCCUCUGGUUCCAGCUGCUUGCUUCACCUUGUCCUUUCAGAUUUCCCUAUCUCCUCGUCCCCUUCGAUUUCCCCUCCUUCACCAUGCCCAAACCCUUCAGAUCGCUGUCACAGUCAUCUCAGAUACCCAGUACCUUCUCCUCUCUUCCCCAAAGAUUCCUACUCCCCUCAUCCUUUCUGAUUCCCAUUCCCCUCAUCCCCGUCGAUUGUCAUUCCUCUCGUCCUUCCUUUAGGCCACGGAGGCUCGAUGAUGAUGCUCUUUCGCAUGUGCAAAGAAACUCAGCUAUGCAUGCUCUGCUUUCUCUCCAGACUCAAACUUUGGUUGAAUUACCUCUUUCUUUGCAUUUCCUGCUGAUUUAUAUAUUAAUUUUUCUCCCAAUUUUUGUCUCCUUUCAGCACCCAAAAUCCCAUGGCAAUGGUGGACCCACGUGUGGAUUUUGCUGCAUGGCUCGCCGCGCGGGGAAUGAAGCCACGUUUUGCUCAAGCGAUGGCGCGUGAUCUUGGCAUUAGUGAUUACGACGAACUGCUCGCCUGUGCCGAACACCCGCAGGUUCGAGCUGAGCUGUUUGCAUCGGUCCGUGAUCGUUUCCCCUUUGCCUUCUAUGCUGUACUACGGCGUGUCACUGAAGCUGUGGUUCCAACCGUCUCCAAUGGUUCUGAAGUUUUCAACGGCACCAGAGCAGCACCAAGUCUCCCGCAAAUGAUCGUGGCAAUGCUGAAUAGCCUAAGUGAGGAGUUGCGACAGUCGGCGCAACGGUUCAGCACCGUGCAGUUGACACAGAGUAACACCAUUAAUCCUCCAGAAUUCGGGUCAAUUCGAGAAACAGGUUUGCUAAUAAUUUUCCCUCCCUUCCAUGCAGUUGUGCCUUCUUUUUUGUUUUACUUUCUUGCAUACCCUAUUUUGCUUCAUUCUCUCACAUUUCUGUUCCGCUCCAAGCUUGGGGUCCUGGAGGGUGGAGGGGAGGAUGCUCUUUCAUCUCGUUUUGCAAACCUAUCAUGGCUGCAUGGUCCAGCAAUCAAUUGUCUCACCAAUUCAAAUUUCACUAGCUGCAACAAGGAUUAAAUUGCUUGUAAGAGUGUAUAAGAGCAGACGUAGACUUUCCUGUUUGGUGGUAUAGGGAUUAGUACUAAUUGUUGGUAAGCUGUACCUUUUUCUUGAACAAUAAAUAAUCCCAACUGCCUAACUUAGUGUUAUAUACAUAUUGUAUAUUAAAU